Molecule: ribosomal RNA, 439 nt
Filed under: uncultured bacterium
Lineage: Bacteria
Description: partial 16S ribosomal RNA
Rfam family: Bacterial small subunit ribosomal RNA
Source: RNAcentral
CUACGGGCUGCUCCAGUGGGGAAUAUUGCACAAUGGACGAAAGUCUGAUGCAGCAACGCCGCGUGGAGGAUGACACAUUUCGGUGCGUAAACUCCUUUUAUAUGAGAAGAUAAUGACGGUAUCAUAUGAAUAAGCACCGGCUAACUCCGUGCCAGCAGCCGCGGUAAUACGGGGGGUGCAAGCGUUACUCGGAAUCACUGGGCGUAAAGAGCAUGUAGGCGGAUUAAUAAGUUGGAAGUGAAAUCCUAUAGCUUAACUAUAGAACUGCUUCCAAAACUGUUGAUCUAGAAUAUGGGAGAGGUAGAUGGAAUUUCUGGUGUAGGGGUAAAAUCCGUAGAGAUCAGAAGGAAUACCGAUUGCGAAGGCGAUCUACUGGAACAUUAUUGACGCUCAGAUGCGAAAGCGUGGGGAGCAAACAGGAUUAGAUACCCCAGUAGUC